RNAcentral lists this long non-coding RNA (385 nucleotides) under Pongo abelii (Sumatran orangutan). RNAcentral describes it as "lincRNA". The record is from RNAcentral. Lineage: Eukaryota; Metazoa; Chordata; Mammalia; Primates; Hominidae.
CUCCUGACCCGGCCUAAGGCCUAACACUGCCUCCUCCUGCGCUUUCCGCCCUUCGCCGUCCCUGACUGGAGGAAACCUGCAGGCUGUCGUCCCCCGAGCUCAGAAGUGCCAGGCGCUGCCCACGGCUUCGGAGAUCCUCGCGCAUUAUAGUGGCCUAUGAGCAGAAUUUGCCAUGCCUUCCAUGGAGAUCUUUUUCCAAGUCAGGUCAACCCAGCCUGCAGCUAUGGAUGCGACCAUCUUGGAAGCCAUGUUAAAGAAGGCAGAGCCAGAAGAUAGAUGCAGCCGGGUUCUCUAAAUCACCACUGGAGAGAAACCCACACACCAAUGAGGAAUACUCAUUUUUUGGAUUUUAAGAGCAAGAAAUAAACUUCAAUUGUGUUCAGCA